Molecule: long non-coding RNA, 1433 nt
Organism: Homo sapiens (human)
Lineage: Eukaryota; Metazoa; Chordata; Mammalia; Primates; Hominidae
Gene: VNN3P
Product: vanin 3, pseudogene
Source: Ensembl
GGGAUUUAAUGUAAAGUUUUUCCAGUGAAACAAAACGUAAGAAUCUGAGUUUGUUUUUCAAAGAUCACUAAAUUUUAGUUAUGAUUAUAUCACAUUUUCCAAAAUGUGUGGCAGUUUUUGCCCUCCUUGCUCUGAGUGUUGGUGCACUGGACACUUUUAUUGCUGCAGUAUAUGAGCAUGCGGUGAUAUUACCAAACAGAACAGAAACACCUGUUUCAAAAGAAGAAGCUUUGCUCCUGAUGAACAAGAACAUAGAUGUUUUGGAGAAAGCAGUUAAGCUGGCAGCGAAGCAGGGUGCACAUAUCAUUGUGACCCCAGAAGAUGGAAUCUAUGGUUGGAUCUUCACCAGGGAGAGCAUUUACCCCUAUCUAGAGGAUAUACCAGACCCUGGAGUGAACUGGAUUCCAUGUAGAGACCCCUGGAGAUUCGGCAACACACCAGUGCAACAAAGACUCAGCUGCCUGGCCAAGGACAACUCUAUCUAUGUCGUGGCUAAUAUUGGGGACAAGAAGCCAUGCAAUGCCAGUGACUCUCAGUGUCCCCCUGAUGGCCGUUACCAAUACAACACUGAUGUGGUGUUUGAUUCUCAGGGAAAACUGUUGGCACGCUACCAUAAGGGAGUGGAAUCUACGCCCCAGAAGCAGUCAAGGUGUACCACUAUGACAUGGAAACAGAGAGUGGUCAGCUGUUGCUAUCAGAACUGAAGUCUCGGCCCCGCCGUGAGCCCACCUACCCUGCAGCUGUUGACUGGCAUGCGUAUGCCAGCAGUGUCAAGCCAUUUUCCUCUGAACAGUCAGAUUUUCUGGGGAUGAUUUAUUUUGAUGAGUUUACCUUCACCAAGCUUAAGAGAAAUACAGGAAAUUACACAGCUUGCCAGAAAGAUCUGUGUUGUCACUUAACUUACAAGAUGUCUGAGAAGCGAACAGACGAGAUCUAUGCCCUAGGUGCUUUUGAUGGACUGCACACAGUAGAAGGCCAAUAUUACUUACAGAUAUGUGCAUUACUGAAGUGUCAAACCACUGACCUGGAAACGUGUGGAGAACCUGUGGGGUCAGCUUUUACCAAGUUUGAAGACUUCUCCCUCAGUGGCACAUUUGGAACGCGUUAUGUUUUCCCACAGAUCAUUCUAAGUGGGAGUCAGCUUGCCCCUGAAAGACAUUAUGAGAUUUCAAGAGAUGGACGCUUGAGGAGCCGAAGUGGAGCCCCUUUGCCUGUCUUAGUUAUGGCCCUGUAUGGAAGAGUGUUUGAGAAGGACCCUCCACGCUUAGGGCAGGGAUCUGGGAAAUUCCAGUGAUCUCCUUUAGCAGAGCCCUUUUAGGAUUAGCCUGGCUAAGAAAGGAAGAAAAAAAAGAGAUCCGUUAGUGUCUGUUUAGAAAAGAUGUUAUAAACUUACAGAAACAAAUAUAAUAAACUGAAGCAGAUUUGAAAAGCAA